RNAcentral lists this ribosomal RNA (581 nucleotides) under Xenoacremonium sp. CLIB 3015. RNAcentral describes it as "eukaryotic LSU rRNA". It matches the Rfam family "Eukaryotic large subunit ribosomal RNA", at positions 49 to 656 of the family's 3401-position model. The record is from RNAcentral. Lineage: Eukaryota; Fungi; Ascomycota; Sordariomycetes; Hypocreales; Nectriaceae.
AGCGGAGGAAAAGAAACCAACAGGGAUUGCCCUAGUAACGGCGAGUGAAGCGGCAACAGCUCAAAUUUGAAAUCUGGCCCUCGGGUCCGAGUUGUAAUUUGUAGAGGAUGCUUUUGGUGCGGUACCUUCCGAGUUCCCUGGAACGGGACGCCAUAGAGGGUGAGAGCCCCGUCUGGUUGGAUACCAAUCCUCUGUAAAGCUCCUUCGACGAGUCGAGUAGUUUGGGAAUGCUGCUCUAAAUGGGAGGUAUAUGUCUUCUAAAGCUAAAUACCGGCCAGAGACCGAUAGCGCACAAGUAGAGUGAUCGAAAGAUGAAAAGCACUUUGAAAAGAGGGUUAAACAGUACGUGAAAUUGUUGAAAGGGAAGCGCUUGUGACCAGACUUGGGCUUGUUAAUCAUCCGGCGUUCUCGCCGGUGCACUUGGCUAGCCCAGGCCAGCAUCAGUUCGGCGCGGGGGAUAAAGGCUUCGGGAAUGUGGCUCCUCCGGGAGUGUUAUAGCCCGUUGUGUAAUACCCUGAGCUGGACUGAGGUUCGCGCAUCUGCAAGGAUGCUGGCGUAAUGGUCAUCAGCGACCCGUCUUG